This is a long non-coding RNA of Amaranthus tricolor (Joseph's coat), 972 nucleotides long. RefSeq lists it as uncharacterized. The transcript has 2 exons. The record is from RefSeq and is a predicted model, not a curated record. Lineage: Eukaryota; Viridiplantae; Streptophyta; Magnoliopsida; Caryophyllales; Amaranthaceae.
ACCCUAUAUGUUUUCUUAUUACCACAAUUUAACACGCACUAACAAUCAAAUUGACCGUAAAAGUCAAUAUUCAUUUGAAUACCAACGAAAAAAAGGAAGGAAAUGAAGGGAAAAGAAGCAAUAUACAACAACUAGCCCAAUAGGUCUUAGUUUGUAUGAAACCGUCUCACCAUGAGAUAGAUUCAUUAAGUAAAUGAAUUUUUAUUUUCAUUUUUUUAAAAUAUUAGGCCAGCCUAUAUUAAGUCAUCUCAUGAUGAGACAGUCUUAAUAAAAAAAUUUGCUCGAUUUCCCUUCCUUCCUUUCCUAAAUUAAGCAUUGUGUUCACGAGAUUAACAUUAUUAGUCGUUUUUACUGCCAUAAUUUAACACGCACUAACAAUUAAAUCGACCGUGAAAGUGACAAAUGGGAUAGGUAUGUGUUAAAUAGAAGCAUCGAGUAACAUGCUUACUUCUCCAUACAUUGCUUCAUAUUCAGGAGUACUUGGGAAGAAGGCUAGUGAAUGCAACAAUGAACAUCCACUAUAUCUCAAUAUUAUUGGUCCUCUUCUUUAACUAUCCAACUACCUUAUCUUCCUCACCCAACAAUUCUAAAUCUUCUCAUACUUCUUCUAUCGUUAACCACGUCCAACGUUUUAAAGCAAAGUGAUUUUAUUUGCUUGGAGGUGAAAACCAUGAGACAAGUUGGAGCAACUACCAUAAACUAGAGAGUGAGGAAACUAUCAUAAAGAAAUCAGCAGGCGGCGGAGGUGGAGGCGGAGGACAUGGUGGGAAAGGUGCGGCCGGUGGUGGCUCCAAUUAUCACCACCAAACUAACUCUAAAAAAAAUAAGGGUUCUAAUGUGCAACCUUUAUUCAUUCAAUCCUUUUCACCUUUAUUUCUUCCUACAUUGCUUUUUAUCUUGUUUUAGUUAACUAAAAAAGAUGGAUUCUUGGGUAUUUUCAUUUGCUCAAUUUCAUUAUUGUGAAUUCUUCUA